RNAcentral lists this ribosomal RNA (143 nucleotides) under uncultured bacterium. RNAcentral describes it as "partial 16S ribosomal RNA". It matches the Rfam family "Bacterial small subunit ribosomal RNA", at positions 388 to 524 of the family's 1533-position model. The record is from RNAcentral.
CCAGCCUGCCGCGUGUGUGAAGAAGGUCUUCGGAUUGUAAAGCACUUUAAGUUGGGAGGAAGGGCAUUAAAUUAAUACUUUGCUGUUUUGACGUUACCGACAGAAUAAGCACCGGCUAACUCUGUGCCAGCAGCCGCGGUAAU